CACGUAGGGCGCGAGCGUUGUCCGGAAUUAUUGGGCGUAAAGAGCUCGUAGGCGGCCUGUUGCGUCCGCUGUGAAAGCCCGGGGCUUAACCCCGGGUCUGCAGUGGAUACGGGCAGGCUAGAGGUAGGUAGGGGAGAAUGGAAUUCCCGGUGUAGCGGUGAAAUGCGCAGAUAUCAGGAGGAACACCGGUGGCGAAGGCGGGUCUCUGGGCCGUGACUGACGCUGAGGAGCGAAAGCGUGGGGAGCGAACAGG
RNAcentral lists this ribosomal RNA (253 nucleotides) under uncultured bacterium. RNAcentral's name for it is "partial 16S ribosomal RNA". It matches the Rfam family "Bacterial small subunit ribosomal RNA", at positions 524 to 776 of the family's 1533-position model. The record is from RNAcentral.